CAUGAAGAAGUUAUCCCACUUUCAAAUCAGGUGAUUCCAGUUUCCCAGUUUGGGAAUAGCACAGCUUCUUCGUCGUUCCAAUCAAACCAGGAUGAAUCACUUUGUGAGAAGCUUGAUUUGGAUACAUAAAUUGGUGGAGAAUCACCAGGAAGUUGAAUAAAUCUCAUAGGAGUUGGGAUGAAGAAGUUAUCCCACUUUCAAAUCAGGUGAUUCCAG
This 216-nucleotide long non-coding RNA is filed under the name Brassica rapa (field mustard). Its description in RNAcentral is "long non-coding RNA (BRAP_LNC008321)". Lineage: Eukaryota; Viridiplantae; Streptophyta; Magnoliopsida; Brassicales; Brassicaceae. The record is from RNAcentral.